RNAcentral lists this ribosomal RNA (253 nucleotides) under uncultured bacterium. RNAcentral's name for it is "partial 16S ribosomal RNA". It matches the Rfam family "Bacterial small subunit ribosomal RNA", at positions 524 to 776 of the family's 1533-position model. The record is from RNAcentral.
UACGUAGGGGGCAAGCGUUGUCCGGAAUCAUUGGGCGUAAAGCGCACGUAGGCGGCCCGGUAAGUCCGUUGUGAAAGUCAGAGGCUCAACCUCUGGAGGCCAAUGGAUACUGCCGGGCUAGAGUCCGGAAGAGGCGAGUGGAAUUCCUGGUGUAGCGGUGAAAUGCGCAGAUAUCAGGAGGAACACCAAUGGCGAAGGCAGCUCGCUGGGACGUGACUGACGCUGAGACGCGAAAGCGUGGGGAGCAAACAGG